Molecule: ribosomal RNA, 468 nt
Filed under: uncultured bacterium
Lineage: Bacteria
Description: partial 16S ribosomal RNA
Rfam family: Bacterial small subunit ribosomal RNA
Source: RNAcentral
GACGAACGCUGGCGGCGUGCUUAACACAUGCAAGUCGAACGGAAAGGCCCUGCUUUUGUGGGGUGCUCGAGUGGCGAACGGGUGAGUAACACGUGAGUAACCUGCCCUUGACUUUGGGAUAACUUCAGGAAACUGGGGCUAAUACCGGAUAGGAGCUCCUGCUGCAUGGUGGGGGUUGGAAAGUUUCGGCGGUUGGGGAUGGACUCGCGGCUUAUCAGCUUGUUGGUGGGGUAGUGGCUUACCAAGGCUUUGACGGGUAGCCGGCCUGGGAGGGUGACCGGCCACAUUGGGACUGAGAUACGGACCAGACUCCUACGGGAGGCAGCAGUGGGAAAUAUUGCACAAUGGGCGGAAGCCUGAUGCAGCAACGCCGCGUGCGGGAUGACGGCCUUCGGGUUGUAAACCGCUUUCGCCUGUGACGAAGCGUGAGUGACGGUAAUGGGUAAAGAAGCACCGGCUAACUACGUG